CCCCCCAAGCCCGCAGGGAGGAUUAUUAUCCUCAUUUUACAGGUGACAGAAACAAAGUUCAGAGAGGUUAAAUAUCUCACUCAGGCCCACACAGCCCCCAAACUGUGGAGCUGGGAUUCAAACCCAGGGCUGCCUAAUUGCCAGCAAGGUUCGUGCGCUCUGGGAUGGGGUGAGUGGCCCACUUUCCAGAGGCCCCAGGACUAGGGCAUUCCCAGGCACGCUCCAUGUGUGCAUCUGGCCUCUGGGGGCCCAGGCCUCCCAACUCUCACAAACACCCUUCAGACGUUUCCGGAUACUUCCCACCCCUGCUCUGGGGUCUUUGGGAAAACCGGGUUGGCUUUGAAGGGGCCCCCCCCAGGCCCAUCAGCAUCUCUACUAUUUCACACUUUCCCUUCAGGAUCAUCAGAUGAGGAACAGCUGGGCCCGCAGAUUUAUUAGGGUUUUGCAAGAGAUUCCAUCCGCUCUUCCAGCUAAACUCCACCCCACUCCCAUUAGCAGCCUCUGGAAAGCAAAGGGAGUUCCUGUCUUGGUGCCCCAAACCGCUUAGCUGGGGUGAGUUUUGCCUCUCCCACUCCUCACAGCAAUCGGGAUCCAGCCAUACAUCUCCCCAGAAACACCAGAGACAAAGAGGAAGAAAAAGAGAGAGAAGAGUGAGACAGAGAAAGAGAUCAGGUUUGUCCUGACCCUUAAUCAACUAGAAGUGGCCGUCAUCUUGGAUACACGCGAGGGAAGCUCCAGCUAGCCUGGACUGGAAAUAGCACCGCAUUUUCAAUACUCAGACAUUUCCUUCUGAGGGGAGGGUCUGGUGUUGGGGCUCACGUUCUCCUUGGACUGAAUCCCCAGAAACCUAAUGCAAGGCCUCACACUGUCUUUUUGUAAUCAUGCUCACAACUUGGUGUUGGAAGGGAGUUGAAUGUAUUGAAGAGUCAGCCAUUCUGUGCCAUGAAAUAGGAAAACUCUAGCAACCUAAAACUCUCGAGGCCCCGAGGCUUUCAGGGAGUUCUAGUGUCGCCCUCCCCUGGGGCCAGCUUGCCACGGGGCUGUGCACACAGUAGGCUUUCAUGAGCACUCUUGCCCUCUCCUCCUUCCUGGGGUAGGCCCCAAGCGCUUAAGGUUAUUAUAACAGGUCAAGUCUCACUCACCAAUUUGUUUAACCUCACACCAUGUUGGAUAUAAAUUCCUUAAUCUAAAUAACGGUCACUCAUUUUCCCCCUGCCCUGAAACAACAGGCAUUUCAUUCACUCCAGCUGGCAGUGCCUGGCAGACUGGCUAACUGGCUCUUAUGUAUGGGCUGAAACGUGCUGCGGCUUGUCCCUGCUCCAUCUCUCCUCCUCUUCAGCUUUUCUACAAGCCACAUGCAAAAAUCUGCCCCAUUACUCGAUUAUCGCAUUUCAUAUGAAAUUAGGUAUUGCAGGUCUCAUGUUAUUCACUUAGCUUGGCGCAGACCGAGGGCAUGACUCAGAGGCACUCCCAGUUUCACCUCCUUCCAGCCAUUGCUCCUCCUUUAUCCUGACCCCUGGGACACCCUGUCCUGCCAGGACACCCGUCUUCCUCCUGAGGCUUCUGUUAAACCACACUCUCAGGCCCCUUAGCAGGACAGAGCAUUUCCGACCAGCUUCAGUUCCACCCUUUUGAACCCUGACCCGCCAGUGUCUCCUGGAAGUAUCCAGAUGAAUGAUCUCCAUUUGCCUCCCUGAUGGUGUGGCCCGCAGCCUUGUGGACCAGCCCUGUGCUUACCUCGGCCCUGGCGGCUUUUUCAUUCUUCUCCCUGUCACUAGACUAAUGGUUUCUCUAAAAAGCUCCAACCCUCCAGGCUGCAGUGUCAGCAGCUCUGGGUGGCCCAGCACACACUUCCUCCAGGUACACGUGAGCGUGCUAAAAAUCCUGGUCCCACCCACACAUCCUGGUCUGGUAGCUUCCCCCGUCCCACUUUGCAGCCUUCACAUUCUCAACUCCCACAUUUACAUUUCAUCAGAGUCAACCUCAGGCUCUCUGUGAUCCCCUCAUCAAUCCGCAGUGAUGUUUUUGGCUAUACCCCCUGCCCCUGGAAAUGAUUUCCCACCAUUCCAGGGGCAGACACACGUGGACCUCCUUUUCUUCCUGGCACACUUUCCCUUCUGUGCCCAACUGUCUCCAGAGCUGUCAGGAAAUGCAUUUGGGUUUUAUUUGCUUAUUCAGCAAGGUUGUCUGAGUACCUACUAUGCAUAAGACCAGAUCUUUUACCUUCAGAAUUUAUAACAUAGAAGGAGAGGUGAAGAAAAAAAAAAAAAAAGUAGUAAUAACAUGAGAGACAGUGCCUCUUAUGAGAGAGGGAGAGGAAAGCAGGACACUGGUGAGACUUAAUCUCUACAUCCACUCUGGGAAUUCUGGCUUUUCAUGUCUGAAUGCCAAGGACCCCAUGGAAACAGUGUAAAGGACUUGGUUCUGAUGAUUGAAUCUCAGGAGGCUCAGUGAGGCUCUUAAAGAAUGAAUCAGUUGUCCUUCUGCUGUCCACCUGAAACUAUCACAACAUUGUUAAUCUUCUAUACUCCAAUAUAAAGUAAAAAGUAAAAAAAAAGGUUCUUCCCUAUGGACCCGGAAUUCACCUUUAGCUAGAAGAGAGUGAAGGAAUCCAGGUUGCAAGACCCAGGUUGCCUUUUACAACAGUGAGCUGAAUCAGCUUCCUAAGAAAGGCUUCCCUUAAUUUGGGGGUUCCCUUUGGCAAUAAGCCCUCUUAAUUGCUCUAAAAUUCACAUGACUGUUUGAAGCAAAAUUAUAACAUUGUCUUGUGGGUUUUAUAAUAUAUGUAGAUGAAAUACAUAUGAUAACUGUAGCGUAAGGAAUGGGGGUAAGAGGUAAUAAACCUCCGUGGUUGUGAGGUUUCUACAUUUUACUUGAAAUAGUAACUCUAAGUGGACCGUGAAAAGUUAAGGAUGUAUGUUGUAAUCCCUGGGGCAAUCAUUAAAAAAUUAAUGCAAAGAAGUAUAGCUACAAAUCCAAUAGAUAUAUUUAUAUGGAAUUCUAAAAAUCCAAAAGAAGGCAGGGAAGGAGGAACUAAGAAAUAGAAAACAGAGGGGGCAAAUGAAACUAAAGUCAACCAUAUCAAUAAUUACAUUAAAUGUUAAUGGGCUAAACAUUGCAAUUAAAAGGCAGAGAUUGUCAGAAUAGAUUUUUUUUGUAAAAAAGAUGUAACUAUUUGCAGUGUGCAAGAGAAGUAUUUUAAAGUCACAGAUAAGUUUUAAAUAAUGGGUGAAAAAUUAUAAACAUUCAAAAGCUGGAGAGACUAUCUCACCAGAUAAAAUAGACUUCAAGACAAAAGGUAUUACCAGAGAUAAAGGGGGACAUUUUAUAAUGGUAGAAGGGUUGACUCAUCAGGAAGGGAAAAUACUCCUAUGUAUUUAUGUGUAUGCAACAUAAAACAGUAAUUCAAACACACGAAGCAAAAAUUCACAGAAUUAAAGGGAGAAAUAGAUAAUAUUGAUUCUAUUAAUAUAAUCAGAGAUGGAGAUUUCAUCAGUGAAAAUGGAGUUUCAUCUCCAGGACAAAUGGGUUUGGGAGGUUAGCCCCCUAAACAAGUGCUGGUCUGUGAGCUGCGGUGAGACACCUCAAAGAAGAAGCCAGGAGGCAGCCAAGUAGCCGUUCAACAGAACCUGGAGAGGUCCUUUGAGGCCGGCACACUGAUGGCCCCAGGUGAUUGUCGUGGACAGCCUGCAGCCCAGCUCUCCCCUGAGGUGGGGAGGCAGUCGCUGAGGCUGUUGAAGCUGGUUCUGAAGAUAGGGGUGAUAAAGUCCAAGUGGCAAUGGUUACUUUUGUGGGCUAUUCUGGAACAAGAGGCCAAGUUGUGGAGUGGAAAGCAACAGUGAAGGCCAAAAAGAGCUUCCCGCCGUUCAUCAUUAGCAGCUAAACCUGACGAGGAGGGCUCAGGCGUCAACAAUCACAACAAAAGCUAACCUUUCCCUUAAUCAUUGCCAAGAACUGAUGGGGUCUGAAGAAGCAAGAGGCAGCCCAAUGCUUAUCAAACUUGAGUGUGCAGCAGAAUCACCUGGAGGGCUUGUUAAAACAGAAUGCUGGGCCCCAUGCCCAGAAUUUCUGAUUCAGCAGGUAUGAGGUGGGAUCAGAUGCUGAUGCUGCUGGUCUGGAGAUACACUUGGAGAACCACUAAGCUGUCUUCCAGGAGCCUGAGGAUUUACCCCAUGUGGACCUUACAACUGACCAUCACAAGCCAAGCACGAGACAGGAUGGAGACUGGUGAAAAAGAAGGAACACCUUCUGGAGUUUCACCCAGGAAGAUCUAGUUCUGCUUGUGCCUGAAGGGAAAGAAGACCAGGGAUCCAGGCCUUCCUUCUCCCUCAUGUGAGUGACCGUAAUCCAUGGGGGAAUUCAUCUCUUGCCCUCACCAUGGCCAAGGUCUGCUCUACACAUGGGCCCAGAGGCCACACUUUUAGUACUUCAGAGAAGCUGAUGAUGGAAUCUGUGACAUGGGAGGUCUUUCAUCCUGAGGCAAGGGUAUGAGUUCUGCCAGCCCUCUGCACCAUCUGGAAGCAACGUUGGGACUAUUUGCAGGUUCACAAAUGGUAGUUGAUUGUUUCAUGGCAUCAAAGACUUAAUUUGAGCCUUAAUGGAGAGAGCAGACUAAUGAAGAUUGAGGAAACAUGGCCUAUAAGAACAAAAUGUGCUGAAUUUGAGUAAAGCUACACAUUCUACACGUUGUGGUCAGCACUCAGAACACUGUGGGUAGGCAGAGCUGGAACCAAUGUCCACAGAUAACUCUCCAACUUUAUUUUAUCCUCCUUUUUACCUUCUCACAGACCAGUCUUGUCAUAAUUACCUUGGUUAUACAAUCCUUGUUUGUAUCUCCAGAGAGAUAGCCAUGUUUGGAAGAAAGAACAUAAGUCCCCAAGUCUGAAGGAGUUCCAAAAAGAAGGAAAUGUGUAACAGUGAAAAGUUGUGGGGUUUUGACUCAGUCAGGCUUCAGUUCCAACCCUUGUUAUGUCAUAUGCUAUCUAUGAGAACUUUAUAGCUUCUCUGAGUUUCAGUUUGCACAGUUCAAAAUGGAACAGAUAGCAUCUAUCCUGUUAGAUUGUUAUAAAAAUCAUUAAAACAUAUGUAAAGCAUUAAAAAGCUGGCUCAUAUUAGGUAUUGAAUAAAUGGCAAGUAUUAAUAUCUGUAAAAUGAAGGUAUUUCAUAAUACCCAACUUUGCAAUAUGGUGGUGAAAAGGAAAGGGGAAUGCUUUUGGCCUGUAGCAGAUGUCUAAUAAAUGGUAGUUGUUA
Molecule: long non-coding RNA, 5250 nt
Organism: Bubalus bubalis (water buffalo)
Lineage: Eukaryota; Metazoa; Chordata; Mammalia; Artiodactyla; Bovidae
Exons: 4
Source: RefSeq, a predicted model, not a curated record